Transfer RNA from Ipomoea nil (Japanese morning glory), 73 nucleotides. It matches the Rfam family "tRNA". Rfam says of the family: Transfer RNA (tRNA) molecules are approximately 80 nucleotides in length. Their secondary structure includes four short double-helical elements and three loops (D, anti-codon, and T loops). Further hydrogen bonds mediate the characteristic L-shaped molecular structure. tRNAs have two regions of fundamental functional importance: the anti-codon, which is responsible for specific mRNA codon recognition, and the 3' end, to which the tRNAs corresponding amino acid is attached (by aminoacyl-tRNA synthetases). tRNAs cope with the degeneracy of the genetic code in two manners: having more than one tRNA (with a specific anti-codon) for a particular amino acid; and 'wobble' base-pairing, i.e. permitting non-standard base-pairing at the 3rd anti-codon position. NCBI's taxonomy places the organism in Eukaryota, Viridiplantae, Streptophyta, Magnoliopsida, Solanales, Convolvulaceae. The record is from Rfam.
GCAUUUGUAGCUUAGUGGAUAGAGUGUCCGUUUCCUAACUAGAAACUUUUAGGUAUGACCCCUAGCUAGUGCG